This 496-nucleotide ribosomal RNA is filed under the name uncultured bacterium. RNAcentral's name for it is "partial 16S ribosomal RNA". It matches the Rfam family "Bacterial small subunit ribosomal RNA", at positions 28 to 506 of the family's 1533-position model. The record is from RNAcentral.
GAUGAACGCUGGCGGCGUGCCUAAUACAUGCAAGUAGAACGCUGAAGGAAGGAGCUUGCUCUUUCCGGAUGAGUUGCGAACGGGUGAGUAACGCGUAGGUAACCUGCCUGGUAGCGGGGGAUAACUAUUGGAAACGAUAGCUAAUACCGCAUAACAGUAGAUGUUGCAUGAUAUCUACUUAAAAGGUGCAAUUGCACCACUACCAGAUGGACCUGCGUUGUAUUAGCUAGUUGGUGAGGUAACGGCUCACCAAGGCGACGAUACAUAGCCGACCUGAGAGGGUGAGCGGCCACACUGGGACUGGGACACGGCCCAGCCUCCUACGGGGGGCAACAGUAGGGAUUUUUGGGCAAUGGGCGGAAGUUGGACCGGGCAACGCCGGGGGAUUGAAGAAGGUUUUCGGAUGUAAAAGCUUUGUUUUAAGGGAAAAACGAGGGGGAGAGUGGAAAGUCCACACUGUGACGGUUUUUUACCAAAAAGGGACGGCAAACUACGU